Molecule: ribosomal RNA, 497 nt
Filed under: uncultured bacterium
Lineage: Bacteria
Description: partial 16S ribosomal RNA
Rfam family: Bacterial small subunit ribosomal RNA
Source: RNAcentral
GAUGAACGCUGGCGGCGUGCCUAAUACAUGCAAGUCGAGCGAACGGACGAGAAGCUUGCUUCUCUGAUGUUAGCGGCGGACGGGUGAGUAACACGUGGAUAACCUACCUAUAAGACUGGGAUAACUUCGGGAAACCGGAGCUAAUACCGGAUAAUAUUUUGAACCGCAUGGUUCAAAAGUGAAAGACGGUCUUGCUGUCACUUAUAGAUGGAUCCGCGCUGCAUUAGCUAGUUGGUAAGGUAACGGCUUACCAAGGCAACGAUGCAUAGCCGACCCGAGAGGGUGAUCGGCCACACUGGAACUGAGACACGGUCCAGACUCCUACGGAAGGCAGCAGUAGGGAAUCUUCCGCAAUGGGCGAAAGCCUGACGGAGCAACGCCGCGUGAGUGAUGAAGGUCUUCGGAUCGUAAAACUCUGUUAUUAGGGAAGAACAUAUGUGUAAGUAACUGUGCACAUCUUGACGGUACCUAAUCAGAAAGCCACGGCUAACUACGUG